AUCCCGGCUUACCAACCCGAUGCAAACUGCGAAUACCGGAGAAUGUUAUCACGGGAGACACACGGCGGGUGCUAACGUCCGUCGUGAAGAGGGAAACAACCCAGACCGCCAGCUAAGGUCCCAAAGUCAUGGUUAAGUGGGAAACGAUGUGGGAAGGCCCAGACAGCCAGGAUGUUGGCUUAGAAGCAGCCAUCAUUUAAAGAAAGCGUAAUAGCUCACUGGUCGAGUCGGCCUGCGCG
Molecule: ribosomal RNA, 239 nt
Filed under: Salmonella enterica subsp. enterica serovar Kentucky
Lineage: Bacteria; Pseudomonadati; Pseudomonadota; Gammaproteobacteria; Enterobacterales; Enterobacteriaceae
Description: partial 23S ribosomal RNA
Rfam family: Bacterial large subunit ribosomal RNA
Source: RNAcentral